Molecule: non-coding RNA, 115 nt
Organism: Triticum aestivum (bread wheat)
Lineage: Eukaryota; Viridiplantae; Streptophyta; Magnoliopsida; Poales; Poaceae
Source: Rfam
CAAGUACUCCCUCCAUCCGGAAUUACUUGUCAUCAAAAUGGAUGUGUCUAGAACUAAAAUACAUCUAGAUACAUCCAUUUCAAUGACAAGUAUUUCCUAAUGGAGGGAGUACAAG